AUGUAUAGGCUGUCCAACCCUCCUAUAUAGCUAGAUACGUGUACGCCGUGUUGUCUUCAACCCUCCAACUGCACUCAGAGCUAACAAAAUCACGCACAGCAGGCCCUUCGGUGGUUUGCAGACUGCGCUGAGAGAGGUCGGACUCGCCGCCGUCGCUCGCUGAACGAAGACGUGCCGCAGACAUGAUCAUCAGACUGGGCAGACUGACCCCUGGGUACUUCAGACUUCUCCAGAGGCAGGUGGCGGGGGAAGUCCAGACCCAGCCCCAGGACCGCAUGGUCAACCAGAUCGCCAUGAUGCUGGCCAUCAUGGGCCUCAGCCUGUCCUAUUACAGCGCCCGACAGAUGACGGACAAGGUGGAGAACACGCCCACCCCCUGAGGAGGCCCUGCCCACCCACAAGCCAGAGGAAAAGGCUGUGUAAUCACGGAGGGAGGGAGAGAGGGAUGGCGACAUCCAGAAUCUUCCACACAUUACCGCUGUAGGCACGAUCACUGGGGUUUUUUUUUUUUUCUUCCUCCCCUGUUUCGCACAUGAACCAGUUGGGGGAUUGUUAGAUCUUCUCGUUUUUGUCUUAUUUUGUUUGUUUUGUUGUUUUUUUUUUUUUUUCCUAAGAUGUCAAAGUCGGUGCAGUCGUUCGGCUUUGGGAAUCAUUGGGACUUCAGGGGUGGGAGGAAGGCUGGGGGGAGGGGGUCCUGCUGUGCUGGUUUUUAGAAACUCCAGCCCCAUGUUCAGAGUAGGCCCGAGUUUCAGUCACUGAUAUGGUACAUGGGAGUGUGCAGGCUUUUUGCGUUUGCCCGUAGGAAGGAAAGGGGUUAACCCACUUAGAAAGCAAGUCCAUUCCAUUGUCCUCCCUUGCACAGGGCUUGCUUGGACUGUUAACCCUAUCCUUAGUGGAACAGUCUCCUCUGAAAUGUACCUAUCAACCCAUGAAAGCGGGCCUAUGGGAGAGAUAUAGCUCUGCUUUUAAACACCUCUACAGCAGACAUGCAUUUUUAAAAAUCAGUGAGACUAACUGAGCCUCAGAACUUACUGUGAAGGAAUUUUUUUUUGUGGGCGAGGGGCUGAAGAACCUAUAAGCAGAUCUGAAAGGGAAUUAAUAUUACUCUAAUUAAUACUACAGUAUUUUUAAUGUUUGAUUCGUUUUCUCCACAAUGUAAGUUAAAGAUUGGUUGCUUAAGUGGUUUAAAAAACCCCUAUAACCUCAAUCUGUAGGUGUAAGCUCAAAUGGUCUAACUCUGUUGAACAAUGCAUGGGUGUGGCACUUAGUUUUUUAAAAUAAUAUUCAAACGUCAUAUUCUGUUGUAUAAGGACUUUUUAAAAAACAAAAACACAGAAUUGCUAUAAUGUCUGUUGCUGUAAUCUAUAUUUUUAGAAUUGAUUAUUGAAUAAAGCUGUGAUGCGUAUGAACGUGAAGGA
Long non-coding RNA from Anguilla anguilla (European eel), 1418 nucleotides. RefSeq lists it as uncharacterized. The record is from RefSeq and is a predicted model, not a curated record. NCBI's taxonomy places the organism in Eukaryota, Metazoa, Chordata, Actinopteri, Anguilliformes, Anguillidae. The transcript has 3 exons.